CCUACGGGUGGCAGCAGUGGGGAAUAUUGGACAAUGGGGGGAACCCUGAUCCAGCGACGCCGCGUGAGUGAAGAAGUAUUUCGGUAUGUAAAGCUCUAUCAUCAGGGAAGAAAGAAAUGACGGUACCUGACUAAGAAGCCCCGGCUAACUACGUGCCAGCAGCCGCGGUAAUACGGAGGGGGCAAUCGUUAUUCGGAUUUACUGGGGGUAAAGGGAGCGUAGACGGCGAUGCAAGUCUGAAGUGAAAGGCGGGGGCCCAACCCCCGGACUGCUUUGGAAACUGUAUGGCUGGAGUGUAGGAGAGGUAGGUGGAAUUCCUGGUGUAGCGGUGAAAUGCGUAGAGAUCAGGAGGAACACCAGUGGCGAAGGCGGCUUACUGGACUGUAACUGACGUUGAGGCUCGAAAGCGUGGGGAGCAAACAGGAUUAGAUACCCCUGUAGUC
This 443-nucleotide ribosomal RNA is filed under the name uncultured bacterium. RNAcentral describes it as "partial 16S ribosomal RNA". It matches the Rfam family "Bacterial small subunit ribosomal RNA", at positions 338 to 795 of the family's 1533-position model. The record is from RNAcentral.